This 253-nucleotide ribosomal RNA is filed under the name uncultured bacterium. RNAcentral's name for it is "partial 16S ribosomal RNA". It matches the Rfam family "Bacterial small subunit ribosomal RNA", at positions 524 to 776 of the family's 1533-position model. The record is from RNAcentral.
UACGGAGGGUGCAAGCGUUGUUCGGAAUCACUGGGCGUAAAGGGCGUGUAGGCGGUCCGCUAAGUCUGAUGUGAAAGCCCGGGGCUCACCCCCGGAAGGGCAUUGGAAACUGGCGGACUCGAGUCCUGGAGAGGAAGGUGGAAUUCCUGGUGUAGCGGUGAAAUGCGUAGAUAUCAGGAGGAAUACCGGUGGCGAAGGCGGCCUUCUGGACGGUGACUGACGCUGAGACGCGAAAGCGUGGGGAGCAAACGGG